GGGCAUACCCACAAUCCAGGUGAA
This 24-nucleotide non-coding RNA is filed under the name Rattus norvegicus (Norway rat). Lineage: Eukaryota; Metazoa; Chordata; Mammalia; Rodentia; Muridae. The record is from RNAcentral.